Molecule: long non-coding RNA, 2123 nt
Organism: Oncorhynchus tshawytscha (Chinook salmon)
Lineage: Eukaryota; Metazoa; Chordata; Actinopteri; Salmoniformes; Salmonidae
Source: Ensembl
AAGCUGACAGAGCUCAACCAGAAGAUGGAGACAGCCAUGUUCAAGAUUCUCCAACAUGGAAUAGCAGCAAGGCCUGUACCUUUGCCCCGCUACUCUGGAUUACUGACCUCUGCCUGACCUGACUCUGAGCCUGCCUGCCGUCCUUACCUUUGACUGCCUGUGUUCGAUUUAAUAAACUUUUGUUAUUUCGACAUUGUCUUCACCUGGGUCUUACCUUGUAAAUUAUGUUCUCCGCGACAUGUUGAACUGGUUCAUCUUUGUCUACAUUGAUGACAUCCUCGUCUUCUCCCGCUCCCCCCAAGAACAUGUGAUCCUAGUCCGACAGGUUCUUCAACAACUCCUGGAGAACCAGCUGUUUGUUAAGGCAGAGAAGUGCGAGUUCCAUCACUCCACCAUCCCCUUUCAGGGGUGCAUCAUCUCUGCUGGGAGUGUCCAGAUGGAUCACAGGGAGGGGAGAGUGGUGGUGGACUGGCCCCAGCCUUCGUCCAGGGUGCAGCUGCAACGAUUCCUGGGGUUUGCCAACUUCUAUCGCCGCUUUAUCCGGGGUUACAGCACCCUGGCUUCCCCCUUGUCAGCACUCCCCUCUCCCAAGGUUUUGUUCACAUGGUCCUCUGCUGCUGAGCGGGCCUAAAACAUCGCUUCACCACUGUUCCCAUCCUGGUUCAACCUUCCCGUCAGUUCGUGGUAGAGGCCAAUGCGUCUGAUGUAGGAGUGGGGGCAGUCCUGUCCCUUGUGAAACUGAGGAAGUGAGGAGGAAGGGAAAGGAGAACCUAAAGGAGAGUGAGAAAAAAGAGAAGAAGGAGAGGGAGAAAACCUCUGAGUGAUAAUGAGGGUGAUGAGGAGGAGAGACUGGUGUUAAACAACAAAGACAAUUCAUAGAACAGGAGUUAAAGAACAAACAGCAGAUCCUCAAGAAAUUGCAGCAGAAGGCAAAAGCAGGGAAGAAAGGGCAAAAAGACAGAACAGGUGAUAAUGGGAAAGGAGGAGAAAGGGUGUUGGGAGAAACAGAGAAUGAGGGAUAAAGAGAGGGAGAAAAUAUAAGAUAAUGAUAGUGUGGGAAAAGGAGGAGGAAAAGAAGCAAGUGCAGUAGGAGGCAAAAAAGAGAGCUGAGGAGAAAAAAACGAUUGAAUGAGAAGAAGGAAGAGGCAGAAGAAAAUAAGGAAGCAACAAUUAAAAGAAAAAAGGCAGGAGGCGAAAAUGGCAAAGAGGGAGAAGAGAAAAUUAGAAUAUUGUGAGGGCCAUGAAAUAAGACUCAUCCUUUGAAAACCUCAAUUUCCAACCAAUCGCUUUCCCUUGCCAAUCAGCAAAGGCGGGGCAUACAUCUGAUUCAUGUUCAUCCUAAUUUCUGCAAUCACUUUUGUUAUCAACCCUUCCUUAAUGAAUUACUCCAAUCAGCAUCCCGAUCCUCAAUAAAUAGUCAAAGGCAUUCAGUCCCUGUGUCUUAACUGAUGUACAACUCCCAAUUUAUUGAAUAUGAACCAACCUAGAACCUUGAAUGCAUCUAAAAAUGUAGAUCUAAAACACAUCAGUACAACUUCCACAGGGAGGCAGCAGAGAGCAGCAGUAAAUAGAGCCAGAUACUGUGAACAGAUCUACACACAGUACAGUAUGAACAUGGUCAAAGGAAUUUGGUAGAAUCAUUUAUAUUUCCUCUGCAGACCUACAGUGGGUAUCAUAAGUAUUCAUCCCCUUUAGAUUUUUUAAAUGUUGUUGUGUUUCAAAGUGGGAUUGAAAUAGAUGUAAUGGUGAUCUACACAAGAUACUCUAUAAUGUCAAAGUGAAAAUACAAUUAUACAAAUGUUUACAAAUUAAAUAACUAAAAUCUAGUUGUUGCAUAAGUAUUCACCCCCUUUGUUUAGGCAAGCGUAAAUUAGUUCAGGAGUCCAUUUAGGCUUAACAAGUCACAUAAUAAGUUGCAUGGACUCAAUAAUAGUGUUUAACAUUAUUUUUGAAUGACUACCUCAUCCCUGUACCCCACACAUACAAAAAAUCUCUCAGUUGAGCAGUGAAUUUCAAACACAGAUUCAACCACAAAGACCAGAGAGGUUUUCCAAUGCUUCACAAAGAAGGGCACCUAUUGGUAGAUGGGUAAAACAAAAGCAGAUAUUGAAUAUCCCUUUGAG